AUAAAAUGCCGCUGACCCGGAAACGAACUCCUAUUGCGUGAGUGUUGAUGGGUGAGUGUGUCGUGUUUGAGUGAUGAGUGUUUGUUAUGUUUGAAUGUGUUUGUGUAUGUGUGUGAAUGCUUAAGUAGUUGUAUCUUUAAAAAUCUACACCAUGAUCUUAUUUGAUCUGGUCCGUGUUGCUGCUUUGCUCGGAUUCAGAAAUGAUGAGAAGAUACUCGUUAGCCCGCUGUGGCGAUGAGCGUUUGGAAUUUUUUUUAGCCGGAUAGCAGCUUCAGGGCACCACAAUGGAGAUUGUGGUUAGAAAUGAUGAAUUGAUCAGAUAUACUAGUGCCGGGGAGAUUCUGGAGGUUUUCCUCCAGCAUUUCGUCUCCGGUCUAUGAGUAUAGAGGCGAUUCUGAUCUUC
This is a non-coding RNA of Ictalurus punctatus (channel catfish), 403 nucleotides long. RefSeq annotates it as small Cajal body-specific RNA 2. NCBI's taxonomy places the organism in Eukaryota, Metazoa, Chordata, Actinopteri, Siluriformes, Ictaluridae. The transcript has a single exon. The record is from RefSeq and is a predicted model, not a curated record.